Molecule: ribosomal RNA, 474 nt
Filed under: uncultured organism
Description: partial 16S ribosomal RNA
Rfam family: Bacterial small subunit ribosomal RNA
Source: RNAcentral
GUACACUCCUGCGGGAGGCAGCAGUGGGGAAUUUUGAACAAUGGGCGAAAGCCUGAUCCAGCAAUGCCGCGUGAGUGAAGAAGGCCUUCGGGUUGUAAAGCUCUUUUGUCAGGGAAGAAACGGUGAAAGCUAAUAUCUUUUGCUAAUGACGGUACCUGAAGAAUAAGCACCGGCUAACUACGUGCCAGCAGCCGCGGUAAUACGUAGGGUGCAAGCGUUAAUCGGAAUUACUGGGCGUAAAGCGUGCGCAGGCGGUUUUGUAAGUCUGAUGUGAAAUCCCCGGGCUCAACCUGGGAAUUGCAUUGGAGACUGCAAGGCUAGAAUCUGGCAGAGGGGGGUAGAAUUCCACGUGUAGCAGUGAAAUGCGUAGAUAUGUGGAGGAACACCGAUGGCGAAGGCAGCCCCCUGGGUCAAGAUUGACGCUCAUGCACGAAAGCGUGGGGAGCAAACAGGAUUAGAAACCCCAGUAGUCCC